CUCCUCCCGCCGCAAGGCCAAGGAGAGGCCGGCGUCCGGAGAUGGCCGACGACCAUGCAGAAGGGCUCGUCCACUCCGACCUCGACGGCCAAGGAGGAGCUCGUCUGGUCAGAUGACACCCACCAAAUUAAAGGUCACUUUAUACUGCAUAUGGAGCUCAUGACUACAGCCAUCAAAUGCCUCAAUCUGCUCCUCAAGCGGAACCUUAUGGUGACUAUCCUUCCACACACCAAUCUGAGGGGCCUACCGAAGCUGAGAAGAAAGAGAUGGCAGCACGGUGGCUCUUGGCGACUUCUGGUGACCUUGACCAGCUUGGAGGCUUGAUGGCAGAGCUGCAGGUCUAGCUGGUCUGUCCCAAGUUUCACCUCGGUGAGCGCGACUCAUAAAGGUGGAAUUUUUUCCUGAGCAAUAGACCUCCCCUACAUUGCUCUGUCAAUUGUGGAUGCACACAAAUGUUUAUCUGCCAAGAAGAUGCAUGCCUACUUGAAGUUUGUAAUGAAUCCUAGAGUGAGAUUCAUGGAAAUAUCCACUUCUAACUAGAUGAGCAAUUUAUGGGAUGGAAAUCCAAAUGACUGAGGAGAGCCGUCAGGGCUCAGCACCGGCGUCGACGAUAGCAUCGGCGCUGCUGCAGCCCCAAGCGUUAGCCCGCUUUCGAUUUGCGAUGCUGGCUCACUUUGUAGCCCUGUUCCUAAUAUUUUGCUUUAUACGAUUUAUUUGCUUGUGUUAUAUGCUGGUGUAACUAGUUAAAUGUCAAUUUAUUGAUUGUUGUAUGCCAGCCAUGAGGCCACGUUAGGGACCAAUUGCUGAUCACAAGAAUACAUAUUAUGCAGCUCAACAUUUUAGAAGCAAGAUCAUUCUAAUGUCUCAGUCACUUUAUCCUGCAUAUGGAGCUAAUGACUACAGCCAUCAAUUGCCUCAAUCUGCUCUUCAAGCGGAACCUUAUGGUGACUAUCCUUCCACACACCAAUCUGAGGAGCCUACUGAAGCUGAGAAGAAAGGUGUGGUACCACGGUUGCUCUUGGUGGCUUCUGAUGAGCUUGGCAGGCUGCAGGGGCGCAUAAGCUUGCAGGGAUGACGGCUUGUAGGCAUGGUGGGAGACCUUCAUGUCUAGCUGCUCAGGCCCAAGUUUCACCAAGGCGAGCUCGACACAUAAAGAUCGAUCGGUUCAAGUUGUACUAAAUCCGAGUCAAUUAAAAGAAACCAGAGGGAGUACCAUUUUGACCUGAUACAGUGCACCCCAUGCCCAUGAUUAUUCAUUGCUGCUGCUUCACCACACACCCAAGAGGAGCAGGUUCGGGAGAAGGAAAGGGACCCAAAAUAGAAACAAGAAAGGGAAAAGAGAAGAGAUGGGGAUUCUGCGAAACUUCCUCGAGCUCGCCAUCAAUUCAUGUCUCGUGCUGCCAUGGGAAACCGGAAGGAAGCCGUUGAGCACCUUACCAAGGCGAUCCUAGUGAACCUCAACAACCAUGUAUGGUACAAAGUGGUCAUUCACAAUAGCAGCAAUGUAUGUGGAGACUGACAUUGAAAAUGUCGCCACUCUUUGUAUGUGGAGCUGUCCUCAUGAGGAGCUGGAUGCAGAGUGAAUGAACUCGAUCUCGACAUGUGGAAGAAGGCAGCAGUUGAUAGAGGAUAUGUACAAUGUCACCCAUGAUCACAGAUUCACAGAGGAACCAUCCAUGGUGGCAUGAUCAGGGAUGGUGUGACUGAAGCAGCCAAGGCCAGUUCUCUACUGCCGUCCGUGGGGAUCCCUUGUGACUUCCAUUUUUGUAAUUGCUUCAUUGCUUCAUAGAUACAAAGAGUUGUAACUUUGCCAUGUUUGUCUUUGUUGCUUAUUUUGUGUUACGACUCGUGAUCUGAGGUGGAUGGUGCGUGGGGGUUUGGAUGUCAGUGUUAGCUGCUGUGAUAUAUGUAUAUAUAAACUUUAUUUCACA
This is a long non-coding RNA of Lolium rigidum, 1931 nucleotides long. RefSeq lists it as uncharacterized. Lineage: Eukaryota; Viridiplantae; Streptophyta; Magnoliopsida; Poales; Poaceae. The transcript has 11 exons. The record is from RefSeq and is a predicted model, not a curated record.